Molecule: small RNA, 474 nt
Filed under: Pongo abelii (Sumatran orangutan)
Lineage: Eukaryota; Metazoa; Chordata; Mammalia; Primates; Hominidae
Description: processed transcript
Source: RNAcentral
ACAGUUGCUGUGCUCUUUCUCCAUGUGCAGCGCAGAUUCUUCCUCUGUGCCAUGUGGUUGCUACGAGCGCAGGGGGAGGGCUGGGGUCAGCAAUUCAAGACUGUCUUUUCUAUCCUCUUCGCUGCCUCUUUCAGCGAUACGAAGAUCCUGUUUGACCAAACUCAGAGAUCAAUUAAGGCACAGCUUCAGAACUUUGUUAAAGAAGAUCUUAGAAAAUUCAAAGAUGCCAAGAAGCAAUUUGAAAAAGUCAGUGAAGAAAAGGAAAAUGCAUUAGUAAAAAAUGCCCAAGUACAAAGAAACAAACAACAUGAAGUUGAAGAAGCCACCAACAUUCUGACAGCAACAAGAAAAUGUUUUCGACACAUAGCCCUCGAUUAUGUGCUUCAGAUUAAUGUUCUUCAAUCAAAAAGGAGAUCAGAAAUCCUAAAAUCAAUGUUGUCAUUUAUGUAUGCCCAUUUGGCCUUCUUUCAUCAA